ACAAUGUCAGCAGUUGUUUUAAUGCUGAAUGGUGAAACAACUCUUCCUACUCCAAAACAGCCUGCAUUCAUUUUUAGAAAGUCUAAGAAUAGCUCUAACCCAUCAGCAGAAAGAGAUGGAUGUUUAUCUGUGGAUGAGGAAACAAUUACAGAGGUUGUAUGUCGCUGAAUACAUUAUCUUUCAUUGAUUAUACAUAAAUUUUUAGUAUAGGGAUGUAUAAUAUGCUUUUUACCUCGAGAAUAAACAAAAAUAUGUUGUGGAACCUUAAUAUUCUGUAAAAUAAUCACCAAUAUAGCUUUGAGAUUA
This 306-nucleotide unclassified non-coding RNA is filed under the name Hevea brasiliensis (rubber tree). The record is from RNAcentral. Lineage: Eukaryota; Viridiplantae; Streptophyta; Magnoliopsida; Malpighiales; Euphorbiaceae.